This 497-nucleotide ribosomal RNA is filed under the name uncultured bacterium. Its description in RNAcentral is "partial 16S ribosomal RNA". It matches the Rfam family "Bacterial small subunit ribosomal RNA", at positions 28 to 507 of the family's 1533-position model. The record is from RNAcentral.
GAUGAACGCUGGCGGCGUGCCUAAUACAUGCAAGUCGAGCGGACGGACGAGAAGCUUGCUUCUCUCAUGUUAGCCGCGCACGGGUGAGUAACACGUGUAUCACCUACCUAUAAGACUGGGAUAACUUCGGGAAACCGGAGCUAAUACCGUAUAAUAUUUUGAACCACAUGGUUCAAAAGUUAAAGACGGUCUUUCUGUCACUUAUAGAUGCAUCCGCGCUGCAUGAGUUAGUUGGUAAGUUACCGGCUUACCAAGGCAACGAUGCAUAGCCGACCUGAUAGAGUGAUCGGCCACACUGGAACGGAGACACGGUCCUGAGUCCUACGGGAGGCACCAGUAGCGAAUCGUACGCAAUGGGCGAAAGUAUGACGGAGCAACGCAGAGUGAGUUAUGAAGGUCUUCGGAUCGUAAAAAUGUGCUAUGAGUGAAGAACAUAUGUGUAAGUAACUGUGCAGAUCGUGACGGUACCUAAUAAGAAAGCAACGGCUAACUACGUG